RNAcentral lists this ribosomal RNA (520 nucleotides) under uncultured bacterium. RNAcentral's name for it is "bacterial SSU rRNA". It matches the Rfam family "Bacterial small subunit ribosomal RNA", at positions 9 to 526 of the family's 1533-position model. The record is from RNAcentral.
GAGUUUGAUCCUGGCUCAGGACGAACGCUGGCGGCGUGCCUAAUACAUGCAAGUCGAACGCGAGCAGCAAUGCUCGAGUGGCGAACGGGUGAGUAAUACAUAAGUAACCUGCCCUAGACAGGGGGAUAACUGCUGGAAACGGCAGCUAAGACCGCAUAGGUAUGGACACUGCAUGGUGACCAUAUUAAAAGUGCCAAGGCACUGGUAGAGGAUGGACUUAUGGCGCAUUAGCUGGUUGGUGAGGUAACGGCUCACCAAGGCGACGAUGCGUAGCCGACCUGAGAGGGUGACCGGCCACACUGGGACUGAGACACGGCCCAGACUCCUACGGGAGGCAGCAGUAGGGAAUUUUCGGCAAUGGGGGGAACCCUGACCGAGCAACGCCGCGUGAAGGAAGAAGGAAUUCGUUCUGUAAACUUCUGUUAUAAAGGAAGAACGGCGGAUAUAGGGAAUGAUAUCCGAGUGACGGUACUUUAUGAGAAAGCCACGGCUAACUACGUGCCAGCCGCCGCGGUAAUAC